Molecule: ribosomal RNA, 1439 nt
Filed under: uncultured bacterium
Lineage: Bacteria
Description: bacterial SSU rRNA
Rfam family: Bacterial small subunit ribosomal RNA
Source: RNAcentral
AGGGUUUGAUCAUGGCUCAGAACGUACGCUGGCGGCACGCCUAACACAUGCAAGUCGAACGAAGUAGCAAUACUUAGUGGCAGACGGGUGAGUAACAUGUGGGUAUCUGCCCUUUGGCCUGGAAUAACACGAGGAAACUUGUGCUAAUACUGGAUAAGUCUUUACGGAGAAAGCUUUAUGCACCAUUGGAUGAGCCCGCACUUGAUUAGUUUGUUGGUGGGGUAAUGGCCUACCAAGACUUUGAUCAAUAGCUGAUUUGAGAGGAUGAUCAGCCACAUUGGGACUGAGACACGGCCCAAACUCCUACGGGAGGCAGCAGUGGGGAAUCUUGCACAAUGGAGGAAACUCUGAUGCAGCGAUGCCGCGUGAGUGAAGAAGGCCCUUGGGUUGUAAAGCUCUUUCGUCGGGGAAGAAAAUGACUGUACCCGAAUAAGAAGGUCCGGCUAACUUCGUGCCAGCAGCCGCGGUAAUACGAAGGGACCUAGCGUAGUUCGGAAUUACUGGGCUUAAAGAGUUCGUAGGUGGUUGAAAAAGUUGGUGGUGAAAUCCCAGAGCUUAACUCUGGAACUGCCAUCAAAACUUUUCAGCUAGAGUUUGAUAGAGGAAAGCAGAAUUUCUAGUGUAGAGGUGAAAUUCGUAGAUAUUAGAAAGAAUACCAAUUGCGAAGGCAGCUUUCUGGAUCAUUACUGACGCUGAGGAACGAAAGCAUGGGUAGCGAAGAGGAUUAGAUACCCUCGUAGUCCAUGCCGUAAACGAUGUGUGUUAGACGUUGGAAAUUUAUUUUCAGUGUCGCAGCGAAAGCGAUAAACACACCGCCUGGGGAGUACGACCGCAAGGUUAAAACUCAAAUGAAUUGACGGGGACCCGCACAAGUAGUGGAGCAUGUGGUUUAAUUCGAAGAUACGCGCAGAACCUUACCAACACUUGACAUGUUCGUCGCGACUUUAAGAGAUUAAAGUUUUCGGUUCGGCCGGACGAAACACAGGUGCUGCAUGGCUGUCGUCAGCUCGUGUCGUGAGAUGUUGGGUUAAGUCCCGCAACGAGCGCAACCCUCACUUUUAGUUGCCAUCAUUAAGUUGGGCACUCUGAAAGAACUGCCAGUGAUAAGCUGGAGGAAGGUGGGGAUGACGUCAAGUCCUCAUGGCCCUUACGUGUUGGGCUACACACGUGCUACAAUGGUAUCUACAACAGGAAGCGAAACAGCGAUGUUAAGCAAAUCCUUAAAAGAUACCUCAGUUCGGAUUGCACUCUGCAACUCGAGUGCAUGAAGCUGGAAUUACUAGUAAUCGUGGAUCAGCGUGCCACGGUGAAUGCGUUCCCGGGUCUUGUACACACCGCCCGUCACACCAUGGGAGUUGGUUCUACCUUAAGGCAAGGUUUAAUACCCUUGACCACGGUAUAGUCAGCGACUGGGGUGAAGUCGUAACAAGGUAACCGUA